RNAcentral lists this ribosomal RNA (443 nucleotides) under uncultured bacterium. RNAcentral describes it as "partial 16S ribosomal RNA". It matches the Rfam family "Bacterial small subunit ribosomal RNA", at positions 338 to 795 of the family's 1533-position model. The record is from RNAcentral.
CCUACGGGUGGCAGCAGUGGGGAAUAUUGGGCAAUGGGGGAAACCCUGACCCAGCAACGCCGCGUGAAUGAAGAAGGCUUUCGGAUUGUAAAGUUCUUUUCUCAGGGAAGAAGAAAGUGACGGUACCUUAGGAAUAAGCCUCGGCUAACUACGUGCCAGCAGCCGCGGUAAUACGUAGGGGGCAAGCGUUAUCCGGAAUUACUGGGUGUAAAGGGCGCGUAGGCGGGUCGGCAAGUCAGUAGUGAAACCCCAGGGCUCAACCUGGGGACUGCUCUUGAAACUGUAGGGCUUGAGUGCAGGAGAGGCAAGCGGAAUUCCUAGUGUAGCGGUGAAAUGCGUAGAUAUUAGGAGGAACACCAGUGGCGAAGGCGGGUUGCUGGACUGUAACUGACGCUGAGGCGCGAAAGCGUGGGGAGCAAACAGGAUUAGAUACCCCAGUAGUC